RNAcentral lists this long non-coding RNA (2703 nucleotides) under Pan troglodytes (chimpanzee). Its description in RNAcentral is "long non-coding RNA NONPTRT002699". The record is from RNAcentral. Lineage: Eukaryota; Metazoa; Chordata; Mammalia; Primates; Hominidae.
GGCAGCCAGCGCAGGGGCUUCUGCUGAGGGCGCAGGCGGAGCUUGAGGAAACCGCAGAUAAGUUUUUUUCACUUUGAAAGAUAGAGAUUAAUACAACUACUUAAAAAAUAUAGUCAAUAGGUUACUAAGAUAUUGCUUAGCGUUAAGCUUUUAACGUAAUUUUAAUAGCUUAAGAUUUUAAGAGAAAAUAUGAAGACUUAGAAGAGUAGCAUGACGAAGGAAAAGAUAAAAGAUUUCUAAAACAUGACGGAGGUUGAGAUGAAGCUUCUUCAUGGAGUAAAAAAUGUAUUUAAAAGAAAAUUGAGAGAAAGGACUACAGAGCCCUGAAUUAAUACCAAUAGAAGGGCAAUGCUUUUAGAUUAAAAUGAAGGUGACUUAAACAGCUUAAAGUUUACUUUAAAAGUUGUAGGUGAUUAAAAUAAUUUGAAGGCGAUCUUUUAAAAAGAGAUUAAACCGAAGGUGAUUAAAAGACCUUGAAAUCCAUGACGCAGGGAGAAUUGCGUCAUUUAAAGCCUAGUUAACGCAUUUAAACGCAGACGAAAAUGGAAAGAUUAGUUGGGAGUGGUAGGAUGAAACGAUUUGGAGAAGAUAGAAGUUUGAAGUGGAAAACUGGAAGACAGAAGUACAGGAAGGCGGAGAAAAGAAUAGAGAAGAUAGGGAAAUUAGAAGAUAAAAACAUACUUUUAGAAGAAAAAAGAUAAAUUUAAACCUGAAAAGUAGGAAGCAGAAGAAAAAAGACAAGCUAGGAAACAAAAAACUAAGGGCAAAAUGUACAAACUUAGAAGAAAAUUGGAAGAUAGAAACAAGAUAGAAAAUGAAAAUAUUGUCAAGAGUUUCAGAUAGAAAAUGAAAAACAAGCUAAGACAAGUAUUGGAGAAGUAUAGAAGAUAGAAAAAUAUAAAGCCAAAAAUUGGAUAAAAUAGCACUGAAAAAGUGAGGAAAUUAUUGGUAACCAAUUUAUUUUAAAAGCCCAUCAAUUUAAUUUCUGGUGGUGCAGAAGUUAGAAGGUAAAGCUUGAGAAGAUGAGGGUGUUUACGUAGACCAGAACCAAUUUAGAAGAAUACUUGAAGCUAGAAGGGGAAGUUGGUUAAAAAUCACAUCAAAAAAGGACUGGUGUAAUUUAAAAAAAAACUAAGGCAGAAGGCUUUUGGAAGAGUUAGAAGAAUUUGGAAGGCCUUAAAUAUAGUAGCUUAGUUUGAAAAAUGUGAAGGACUUUCGUAACGGAAGUAAUUCAAGAUCAAGAGUAAUUACCAACUUAAUGUUUUUGCAUUGGACUUUGAGUUAAGAUUAUUUUUUAAAUCCUGAGGACUAGCAUUAAUUGACAGCUGACCCAGGUGCUACACAGAAGUGGAUUCAGUGAAUCUAGGAAGACAGCAGCAGACAGGAUUCCGGGAACCAGUGUUUGAUGAAGCUAGGACUGAGGAGCAAGCGAGCAAGCAGCAGUUCGUGGUGAAGAUAGGAAAAGAGUCCAGGAGCCAGUGCGAUUUGGUGAAGGAAGCUAGGAAGAAGGAAGGAGCGCUAACGAUUUGGUGGUGAAGCUAGGAAAAAGGAUUCCAGAAAGGAGCGAGUGCGAUUUGGUGAUGAAGCUAGCAGGCGGCUUGGCUUGGCAACCACACGGAGGAGGCGAGCAGGCGUUGUGCGUAGAUAGAGGAUCCUAGACCAGCAUGCCAGUGUGCCAAGGCCACAGGGAAAACGAGUGGUUGGUAAAAAUCCGUGAGGUCGGCAAUAUGUUGUUUUUCUGGAACUUAUGAGGCAUUUCAUCCUUCAUGAAGCUGUUCAGGAUUUUGAAUUGCAUAUGAGUGCUUGGCUCUUCCUUCUGUUCUCCUAGUGAGUGUAUGAGACCUUGCAGUGAGUUUAUCAGCAUACUCAAAAUUUUUUUCCUGGAAUUUGGAGGGAUGGGAGGAGGGGGUGGGGCUUACUUGUUGUAGCUUUUUUUUUUUUUACAGACUUCACAGAGAAUGCAGUUGUCUUGACUUCAGGUCUGUCUGUUCUGUUGGCAAGUAAAUGCAGUACUGUUCUGAUCCCGCUGCUAUUAGAAUGCAUUGUGAAACGACUGGAGUAUGAUUAAAAGUUGUGUUCCCCAAUGCUUGGAGUAGUGAUUGUUGAAGGAAAAAAUCCAGCUGAGUGAUAAAGGCUGAGUGUUGAGGAAAUUUCUGCAGUUUUAAGCAGUCGUAUUUGUGAUUGAAGCUGAGUACAUUUUGCUGGUGUAUUUUUAGGUAAAAUGCUUUUUGUUCAUUUCUGGUGCUGGGAGGGGACUGAAGCCUUUAGUCUUUUCCAGAUGCAACCUUAAAAUCAGUGACAAGAAACAAAUUCCAAACAAGCAACAGUCUUCAAGAAAUUAAACUGGCAAGUGGAAAUGUUUAAACAGUUCAGUGAUCUUUAGUGCAUUGUUUUUGUGUGGGUUUCUCUCUCCCCUCCCUUGGUCUUAAUUCUUACAUGCAGGAACACUCAGCAGACACACGUAUGCGAAGGGCCAGAGAAGCCAGACCCAGUAAGAAAAAAUAGCCUAUUUACUUUAAAUAAACCAAACAUUCCAUUUUAAAUGUGGGGAUUGGGAACCACUAGUUCUUUCAGAUGGUAUUCUUCAGACUAUAGAAGGAGCUUCCAGUUGAAUUCACCAGUGGACAAAAUGAGGAAAACAGGUGAACAAGCUUUUUCUGUAUUUACAUACAAAGUCAGAUCAGUUAUGGGACAAUAGUAUGA